UAAGAAGUUUAUUAACGUGUCAAUGUC
Molecule: small RNA, 27 nt
Filed under: Bombyx mori (domestic silkworm)
Lineage: Eukaryota; Metazoa; Arthropoda; Insecta; Lepidoptera; Bombycidae
Description: ovarian small RNA-19122
Source: RNAcentral